This 464-nucleotide ribosomal RNA is filed under the name uncultured bacterium. RNAcentral's name for it is "partial 16S ribosomal RNA". It matches the Rfam family "Bacterial small subunit ribosomal RNA", at positions 28 to 507 of the family's 1533-position model. The record is from RNAcentral.
GACGAACGCUGGCGGCGUGCUUAACACAUGCAAGUCGAACGGAAAGGCCCAGCUUGCUGGGUGCUCGAGUGGCGAACGGGUGAGUAACGCGUGGGUGAUCUGCCCCUAACUUCGGGAUAAGCUUGGGAAACUGGGUCUAAUACCGGAUAGGACAAUCGUUUAGUGUCGGUUGUGGAAAGUUUUUUCGGUUAGGGAUGAGCCCGCGGCCUAUCAGCUUGUUGGUGGGGUAAUGGCCUACCAAGGCGUCGACGGGUAGCCGGCCUGAGAGGGUGGACGGCCACAUUGGGACUGAGAUACGGCCCAGACUCCUACGGGAGGCAGCAGUGGGGAAUAUUGCACAAUGGGCGCAAGCCUGAUGCAGCGACGCCGCGUGGGGGAUGACGGCCUUCGGGUUGUAAACCUCUUUCGACAGGGACGAAGCUUUGGUGACGGCACCUGUAUAAGAAGCACCGGCUAACUACGUG